UCCCUGGUAGCUCAGUUGGUAAAGAAUCUGCCUGCAAUGCAGGAGACCCUGGUUUGAUCCCUGGGUUGGGAA
This 72-nucleotide transfer RNA is filed under the name Capra hircus (goat). It matches the Rfam family "tRNA". From Rfam's summary of the family: Transfer RNA (tRNA) molecules are approximately 80 nucleotides in length. Their secondary structure includes four short double-helical elements and three loops (D, anti-codon, and T loops). Further hydrogen bonds mediate the characteristic L-shaped molecular structure. tRNAs have two regions of fundamental functional importance: the anti-codon, which is responsible for specific mRNA codon recognition, and the 3' end, to which the tRNAs corresponding amino acid is attached (by aminoacyl-tRNA synthetases). tRNAs cope with the degeneracy of the genetic code in two manners: having more than one tRNA (with a specific anti-codon) for a particular amino acid; and 'wobble' base-pairing, i.e. permitting non-standard base-pairing at the 3rd anti-codon position. RNAcentral also lists the same sequence under 1 other name. Lineage: Eukaryota; Metazoa; Chordata; Mammalia; Artiodactyla; Bovidae. The record is from Rfam by way of RNAcentral.